AGGAUAGUAGUUUAUAAAAACAUUUAAAUUGCAAAUAAAAAAUAUCUCCAAGAUCUAUCUUU
Molecule: transfer RNA, 62 nt
Filed under: Hylurgops palliatus
Lineage: Eukaryota; Metazoa; Arthropoda; Insecta; Coleoptera; Curculionidae
Description: tRNA-Ala
Source: RNAcentral